UAUAAUAUAUAUUUUAGAGCACUGUUUUAUUUCACUCGAAAAACCCAGCAUAAAAACUAUAGAUUUCUUUGUAACAUCUUAUUUUCCUUUAAAUCUUUCACGUUGUAUGUCUGAUUUCAUUAAAAUUAUUCACACUUGAAAUAAUAUUAAUCAUACAAAAUGUCUUUGUCUACUUUUCCACGCACAUUUGGUACAUCUUGUUUACUCCGAAUAGGUCAAACUUGAAAUUAUUCGCAAUGUUUACUAUUUUUUUUAAAAAAUGAUUCAAGCAUUUCCAAAGGAAAUUAAAAAUUCCAUCUUUUACCGCGACAAAAUACAUAUGUCAAAUUAAACUAGGUUAGGUACGCAUCAGAACAAUAAUGUAAAAAUAUUUAGCGAAAUAAUGUUAAGACGUGUCUAUAAAAUUGAUAUGGACGCUAAGAAUUGUACCCUCGUAAACAGAAAUUAAGUUGUUAAACAUUUAAAGGAAAAAUCAAGAUCAAGAGACACCGACUUACAAAAGAAUAGUGAAGAACAGCUUCUGCAAAGGACUUAAACAGGGAACCACACCAAUUACAUGAAUAUGGUUUUUCCACUACAUGCGAUUCCCGAUGGAUUUUUAGAUGAUCCAUGUCUACAAAGUGGCUACUACAGAAUUCACAGUGGUUCCGAAAGCUUCUCCGCAACGAACGCAUCUUUAUAAAAAAUAAAUUGUUUUUAUGCCUUUACAUGGUACAAAGCAUUGUAAUAGAAAAAAAAUAGCCAAAAAUAUACCACCUCCAAAUUGUUUGACUAUUUUCUAAAAUUAUGCUGUGACUGGCUAUAUGUUUAUUCAACCUUGACUUUUGGGUAAAGCUCUUGGAGCAUUCAGGACAUUUGUAUGGCUUUUCUGGAAGAUGAGUUACCACAUGACGCUUUAAGGGGGUGUACCUCAAGUACUUCGGAGUCGAUUACCUCGUUCCUUGGAAAUGAUAAGGGAACAAUUCUUUCAUGGCAAACUAAACUUGAGUCUUUGAACUGUGAAAACAAUUCGACAGAGCGCCUACGUUUAUGCACGUUU
Molecule: long non-coding RNA, 1039 nt
Organism: Hylaeus anthracinus
Lineage: Eukaryota; Metazoa; Arthropoda; Insecta; Hymenoptera; Colletidae
Exons: 4
Source: RefSeq, a predicted model, not a curated record